Lupinus albus (white lupine) is the source of this 224-nucleotide non-coding RNA. Lineage: Eukaryota; Viridiplantae; Streptophyta; Magnoliopsida; Fabales; Fabaceae. The record is from the annotation of a GenBank genome assembly.
AUGGGUAAAGACCCUAAGGUUGGAGGAAGCGGAGUAGAUACUAACAAGCCGUCAAACGCCAACACACGCCAAGGUAAAGCUAAGGAUUAGCGGAUUCAGAUGAUGUCGUAGCUUAGUUCUUAUCUAUUUUUUUGUAAUUGGGAUACUCAUGUGCUGUUUUGUAUUAUGCACAUACUUAUAUCCAGUAUUUGAACGAAUUGACUUGUAAUUACGCUUUUAGGGAU